RNAcentral lists this ribosomal RNA (253 nucleotides) under uncultured bacterium. RNAcentral describes it as "partial 16S ribosomal RNA". It matches the Rfam family "Bacterial small subunit ribosomal RNA", at positions 524 to 776 of the family's 1533-position model. The record is from RNAcentral.
UACGUAGGGUGCAAGCGUUAAUCGGAAUUACUGGGCGUAAAGCGUGCGCAGGCGGUUUUGUAAGUCUGUCGUGAAAGCCCCGGGCUCAACCUGGGAAUUGCGAUGGAGACUGCAAGGCUUGAAUCUGGCAGAGGGGGGUAGAAUUCCACGUGUAGCAGUGAAAUGCGUAGAGAUGUGCAGGAACACCGAUGGCGAAGGCAGCCCCCUGGGUCAAGAUUGACGCUCAUGCACGAAAGCGUGGGGAGCAAACAGG